Long non-coding RNA from Trachemys scripta elegans, 656 nucleotides. RefSeq lists it as uncharacterized. The record is from RefSeq and is a predicted model, not a curated record. Lineage: Eukaryota; Metazoa; Chordata; Testudines; Emydidae. The transcript has 3 exons.
AGUGCCAAGUGAUCCUCCACACACAUUUUAUUUUGUGCUGGUGACUCAUUCCAAUUUAAUGCCAUCCAAACUUAUUUGGAUUUAGAAAGUAUGAAUCAUCUUCCUGAUAAUAUUAUCUGAAGUUAUUGCUAGACGUGCCAAGCUAAAAUGCUAGGGCUAGUCAGAGCACUAACAAGUGACUGUUUUCUCCCUAAAACCCACUGAUCUAAAAUGGAUGCUGGUUUACUUUGUAUUUAGAAGUGAGGUCUGCUUGGGGGUAGGAGCUGGACAUGCAAACUCCGGCUUUGUUCUCCAAGGAUCACAGCUGCUUCCACUGAAGGAAAGUAGAAGACAUCCUCCACCCCUGGAAGUUUUUCUUGUCUCAAGUUUACAGAGUUCUGGGCUUUUUAAUCUCUUCUGAUGUGGACGCCUCCUUCACUCCUGCCUUCCACAAAUUAUAUCCAUUGCCCUUCUUUGAACAUUUAUCUUUAUGCCAUACCCAUGUUUUUUAGACCACAUGAUGAAAAAUGAAUUCAAUAUUCAAGAUACACAGAGAUGGUGGAGUGCUGUGCUGGAGGAAGGAGGGGACAAGAGACACACAGGCAGCCAGGAGAAAAGGUGAGAGGGGAUAACAGAAAGCAGCAGGAGCUGCAGGGAGAGAGAGGAGAAGGAGGAGC